ACGUGUACGUACGCCUUACACAGGGGGAUAACACCUGGAAACAGGUGCUAAUACCGCAUAAGCGCACAGGGCCGCAUGGCCCGGUGUGAAAAACUCCGGUGGUGUAAGAUGGACCCGCGUCUGAUUAGCUUGUUGGCGGGGUAGGGGCCCACCAAGGCGACGAUCAGUAGCCGGCCUGAGAGGGUGGACGGCCACAUUGGGACUGAGACACGGCCCAAACUCCUACGGAAGGCAGCAG
This 238-nucleotide ribosomal RNA is filed under the name uncultured bacterium. Its description in RNAcentral is "partial 16S ribosomal RNA". It matches the Rfam family "Bacterial small subunit ribosomal RNA", at positions 113 to 354 of the family's 1533-position model. The record is from RNAcentral.